This 569-nucleotide ribosomal RNA is filed under the name Pichia manshurica. RNAcentral's name for it is "eukaryotic LSU rRNA". It matches the Rfam family "Eukaryotic large subunit ribosomal RNA", at positions 39 to 634 of the family's 3401-position model. Lineage: Eukaryota; Fungi; Ascomycota; Pichiomycetes; Pichiales; Pichiaceae. The record is from RNAcentral.
CAUAUCAAUAAGCGGAGGAAAAGAAACCAACAGGGAUUGCCCCAGUAGCGGCGAGUGAAGCGGCAAGAGCUCAGAUUUGAAAUCGUGUUUCGGCACGAGUUGUAGAGUGUAGGCGGGAGUCUCUGUGGAGCGCGGUGUCCAAGUCCCUUGGAACAGGGUGCCUGAGAGGGUGAGAGCCCCGUAGGGUGCUGCGCGAAGCUUUUGAGGCCCUGCUGACGAGUCGAGUUGUUUGGGAAUGCAGCUCCAAGCGGGUGGUAAAUUCCAUCUAAGGCUAAAUAUUGGCGAGAGACCGAUAGCGAACAAGUACUGUGAAGGAAAGAUGAAAAGCACUUUGAAAAGAGAGUGAAACAGCACGUGAAAUUGUUGAAAGGGAAGGGUAUUGGGCUCGACAUGGGGGGUGCGCACCGCUGUCUCUUGUAGGCGGCGCUCUGGGCGCCCUCUGGGCCAGCAUCGGUUCCUGCUGCGGGAGAAGGGGCUCCGGAAAGUGGCUCUUCGGAGUGUUAUAGCCGGGGCCAGAUGCCGCGUGUGGGGACCGAGGACUGCGGCUUCUGUCUCGGAUGCUGCUAAGC